CUCGGUGAGCAGCUGGGCCUUCUCCACCGACUCCACAGUGACAGUGGUGGCCAUCUCCACACGCAGCUGCUGCUGGAAGAGGGUCUGCAGCUUCCACAGAGGCAGGUGCAGCUUGGGGCCGACGAGAGCAGCUGUCCGGCCUGCACGUCCAGGACCCCCACCCGCAGAGCCACAUCUGCUUCUCCGAGUCCCCGGAAAAUCAUCCCUCCGAGAGGAUGGAAGGAAGCAAGGUGCCAAAGAGCACGUGACAGCCACCCAGCAUUUGCCCGGCCUCACUGGGUGGGGGUGGGAACUACCUGGGGAGACACAGCUCAGGUCUCUGGGCAGUGAGCUCGUGUUUAAACUGGAAACUGUGCAAAUGCGUGACCCAUCCAAAAAGAGAAAUCGAAAACC
Molecule: long non-coding RNA, 393 nt
Organism: Leopardus geoffroyi (Geoffroy's cat)
Lineage: Eukaryota; Metazoa; Chordata; Mammalia; Carnivora; Felidae
Exons: 2
Source: RefSeq, a predicted model, not a curated record